CUGCAGUGCAUCUUGGGAAGCAAAAUUUUUUUCUUUGGUCAGGCUGCUAGAAGGAGAUACAAAACCAGAAGACAUUUCCAGUGAGAUGGUACCAUGUGCCGCUAUGUGUAACAAAGCCCUUGAGAAGUGCUUGGAGCCAGACUGACAGGUUGUGAGAAGGUGCUACAUAGUACAAAAGAAGGAAAGAAGAGCUUCCCCAGUAAAGUGCUCAGUGAUCCUUAAAGUGCUCAGUGAUCCUGUCUUGAAAAUUCCUCUCCAAGAGGUGUAAUUUACAAAACCAUGGAAGUCCAUUGUGUGAACCUUUAAACCAACGGCACAAAACAGGUUCCAUGUGUGCAAGCAUAAAAGGUAAGUGAAAAACAGAAGUCAGCACUUUGACAUAAUUAGUAAGCUGAAACAGCUGGAAUGUGAAGGGCAUUUAAACCUUCCUGUGAAAGGUCAGG
Molecule: long non-coding RNA, 443 nt
Filed under: Anser brachyrhynchus (Pink-footed goose)
Lineage: Eukaryota; Metazoa; Chordata; Aves; Anseriformes; Anatidae
Description: lncRNA (ENSABRG00000014390.1)
Source: RNAcentral